RNAcentral lists this ribosomal RNA (495 nucleotides) under uncultured bacterium. Its description in RNAcentral is "partial 16S ribosomal RNA". It matches the Rfam family "Bacterial small subunit ribosomal RNA", at positions 28 to 507 of the family's 1533-position model. The record is from RNAcentral.
GACGAACGCUGGCGGCGUGCCUAAUACAUGCAAGUAGAACGCUGAAGGAGGAGCUUGCUUCUCUGGAUGAGUUGCGAACGGGUGAGUAACGCGUAGGUAACCUGCCUGGUAGCGGGGGAUAACUAUUGGAAACGAUAGCUAAUACCGCAUAAGAGUAGAUGUUGCAUGACAUUUGCUUAAAAGGUGCAAUUGCAUCACUACCAGAUGGACCUGCGUUGUAUUAGCUAGUUGGUGAGGUAACGGCUCACCAAGGCAACGAUACAUAGCCGACCUGAGAGGGUGAUCGGCCACACUGGGACUGAGACACGGCCCUGACUCCUACGGGAGGCAGCAGUAGGGAAUCUUCGGCAAUGGACGGAAGUCUGACCGAGCAACGCCGCGUGAGUGAAGAAGGUUUUCGGAUCGUAAAGCUCUGUUGUAAGAGAAGAACGAGUGUGAGAGUGGAAAGUUCACACUGUGACGGUAUCUUACCAGAAAGGGACGGCUAACUACGUG